UGACCUGGGAUUAUGGACGGGGUCCUUCCUCCCCUGGCAGCCACACAGGAAGAGCGAGGAGCUUCUGGCUUCCUGAACUGGACGAAGAGGACAAGUUAACUGUUGUUUACCCACCAGCAUCUUUCGAAAGAUCUUCACAUGUGAAUGGGAUCCCACAUAACAGAGAGCCACAGUAAGCAAUGAGUAGACAUUAUUUGUUGUUAGUCAUUUUUUCAGUCAUGUCUGACUCUUUGUGACCCCAUUUGGGACUUUCUUGGCAAAGACCCUGGAGUAGUUUGCCAUUCCUUCUCCAGCUCAUUUUCCAGGUAAGGAAACUGAGACUAACAGGGUUAAAUGACUUGCCCAGGGUCACACAGCUAGUUAGUGUCUGGAGUCAGUUUUGAACUCGAGUCUUCCUGUCUCCAGGUCCUGCACUAUCUACCUAUCUACCUACCAUGCUAUCUAGCUGCCCAGGAGAAGGGAUACCCACUACCCAUCUCAAGUUCAUAGCGUAAGAUUAAAAAUUAUAUCCAAUACACCAAAUAUUAUAUUUUCUAAGAAUCUUACUUAUUAAUAAUAACUUGAAGUAGAGAAAAUAAAAACUGUGAGGGGGAGUGAGAGAGAGACAGAGAGGAGAGACAGAGACUGAGAGAGAGACAGAGAGACAGAGGCAGAGAGAGAGACAGAGAGAGAGAGAGAGGAGAGAGACAGAGACAGAGACAGAGAGACAGAGACAGACAGACAGACAGACAGACAGAGAGGAGAGACAGAGAGGAGAGAGAGACAGACAGACAGACAAGCAGACAGACAGACAGACAGAGAAAGGGAGAGAGAGAGAGACAGAUAGGAGAGAGAGACAGAGAGGAGAGAGAGAGACAGAGAGGAGAGAGAGAAAGAGAGAGGAGAGAGACAGAGACAGAGACAGAGACAAAGACAGAGAGACAGAGACAGACAGAGAGACAGACAGACAGAGAGAGAGAAAGAGAAAAGAGAGAAAGAAAGAAAGAGAGAAAGAAAGAAAGAAAGAAAGAAAGAAAGAAAGAAAGGAAGUAAGGAAGGAAGGAAGGAAGUAAGGAAGGAAGAAAGGAAGGAAGAAAGGAAGGAAGGAAGGAAGGAAGAAAGAAAGAAAGAAAGAAAGAAAGAAAGAAAGAAAGAAAGAAAGAAAGAAAGAAAGAAAGAAAGAAAGAAAGAAAGAAAGAAAGAAAGAAAGAAAGAAAGAAAGAAAGAAAGAAAGAAAGAAAGAAAGAAAGAAAGAAAGAAAGGGACAUUGCAUUAUGGAUAGAGUGUAUCUUGGAGUCAGGG
Molecule: long non-coding RNA, 1281 nt
Filed under: Monodelphis domestica (gray short-tailed opossum)
Lineage: Eukaryota; Metazoa; Chordata; Mammalia; Didelphimorphia; Didelphidae
Description: lncRNA (ENSMODG00000041387.1)
Source: RNAcentral